This 447-nucleotide ribosomal RNA is filed under the name uncultured bacterium. RNAcentral describes it as "partial 16S ribosomal RNA". It matches the Rfam family "Bacterial small subunit ribosomal RNA", at positions 29 to 523 of the family's 1533-position model. The record is from RNAcentral.
AAUAAACGCUGGCGGCGUGCCUAACACAUGCAAGUCGAGCGCCCCGCAAGGGGAGCGGCAGACGGGUGAGUAACGCGUGGGAAUCUACCCAUCCCUACGGAAUAGCUCCGGGAAACUGGAAUUAAUACCGUAUACGCCCUACGGGGGAACGAUUUAUCGGGGAUGGAUGAGCCCGCGUUGGAUUAGCUAGUUGGUGGGGUAAAGGCCUACCAAGGCGACGAUCCAUAGCUGGUCUGAGAGGAUGAUCAGCCACAUUUGGACUGAGACACGGCCCAAACUCCUACGCGAGGCAGGAGAGGGGAAAAUUGGACAGUGGUGGCAACCCUGAUCCAGCCAUGCCGCGUGAGUACUGAAGGCCUUAGGGUUGUAAAGCUCUUUCACCGGGGAAGGUAAUGACGGUACCCGGAGAAGAAGCCCCGGCUAACUUCGUGCCAGCCGCCGCCGUAA